AUUGAACGCUGGCGGCAGGCCUAACACAUGCAAGUCGAGCGGAUGAAGCGAGCUUGCUCCUGGAUUCAGCGGCGGACGCGUGUGUAAUGCCUAGGAAUCUGCCUGGUAGUGGGGUAUAACGUCUUGAAACGGGCGCUAAUACCGCAUACGUCCUGAGGGUGCAAGAGGGGGAUCUUCGGACCUCACGCUAUCAGAUGAGCCUAGGUCGGAUUAGCUAGUUGGUGGGGUAAAGGCCUACCAAGGCGACGAUCCGUAACUGGUCUGAGAGGAUGAUCAGUCACACUAGAACUGAGACACGGUCCAGGGUACUACGGGAGGCAGCAGUGGGGAAUAUUGGACAAUGGGCGAAAGCCUGAUCCAGCCAUGCCGCGUGUGUGAAGAAGGUCUUCGGAUUGUAAAGCACUUUAAGUUGGGAGGAAGGGCAGUAAGUUAAGACCUUGCUGUUUUGACGGUACCAACAGAAGAAGCACCGGCUAACUUCGUG
RNAcentral lists this ribosomal RNA (484 nucleotides) under uncultured bacterium. RNAcentral describes it as "partial 16S ribosomal RNA". It matches the Rfam family "Bacterial small subunit ribosomal RNA", at positions 30 to 507 of the family's 1533-position model. The record is from RNAcentral.